UCAGGAUGAACGCUAGCGACAGGCCUAACACAUGCAAGUCGAGGGGCAGCGACAAGGAGCAAUCUGAGGUGGCGACCGGCGCACGGGUGAGUAACACGUAUGCAACCUGCCUGUAAGCGGGGAAUAACCCGUUGAAAGACGGACUAAUACCGCAUAAUACUAAAUUACUGCAUGGUAAUUUAUUUAAACAUUUAUGGCUUACAGAUGGGCAUGCGCAUGAUUAGCUAGUUGGAGAGGUAACGGCUCCCCAAGGCAACGAUCAUUAGGGGUUCUGAGAGGAAGGUCCCCCCACACUGGUACUGAGACACGGACCAGACUCCUACGGGAGGCAGCAGUGAGGAAUAUUGGUCAAUGGACGAGAGUCUGAACCAGCCAAGUCGCGUGCAGGAAGAAUUGUCCUAUGGAUUGUAAACUGCUUUUGCAGGGGAAUAAAGUGCAUCACGUGUGAUGUUUUGUAUGUACUCUGCGAAUAAGGAUCGGCUAACUCCGUGCCAGCCGCCGC
Molecule: ribosomal RNA, 502 nt
Filed under: uncultured bacterium
Lineage: Bacteria
Description: bacterial SSU rRNA
Rfam family: Bacterial small subunit ribosomal RNA
Source: RNAcentral